AACGAACGCUGGCGGCAUGCCUAACACAUGCAAGUCGAACGAGACCUUCGGGUCUAGUGGCGCACGGGUGCGUAACGCGUGGGAACCUGCCCUUAGGUUCGGAAUAACUCAGAGAAAUUUGAGCUAAUACCGGAUAAUGUCUUCGGACCAAAGAUUUAUCGCCUUUGGAUGGGCCCGCGUAGGUUUAGCUUGUUGGUGGGGUAAUGGCCUACCAAGGCGACGAUCCUUAGCUGGUCUGAGAGGAUGAUCAGCCACACUGGGACUGAGACACGGCCCAGACUCCUACGGGAGGCAGCAGUGGGGAAUAUUGGACAAUGGGCGAAAGCCUGAUCCAGCAAUGCCGCGUGAGUGAUGAAGGCCUUAGGGUUGUAAAGCUCUUUUACCAGGGAUGAUAAUGACAGUACCUGGAGAAUAAGCUCCGGCUAACUCCGUG
RNAcentral lists this ribosomal RNA (433 nucleotides) under uncultured bacterium. Its description in RNAcentral is "partial 16S ribosomal RNA". It matches the Rfam family "Bacterial small subunit ribosomal RNA", at positions 29 to 507 of the family's 1533-position model. The record is from RNAcentral.